UUUUCUCUUCCCAGUUCUCUCUUCUAACUCACUAUUCAGCCAAUGAUACAGGACCACCACAGAACCGGAGUCCAGAGACCAUCAACUAAGAAACUGUAACAGCUAAAAGUUUUUUCUGUGUCACCAGCAUCGUGUCAAACAGAAAGUUCCCAGCCACAGCCAAGAGGGAUACAUGUCUCCAGAGCAAAUGGAUGACAGCAUCCCACAACGCCUGUCUACCUCGGAAGACUCCCCUUCUCCAUUCCCCCAAGAGCCAACCGACGUCCAGAAGUCAGCUGGAAGCAGUUUUUGAGAGGAACAACACCCCUAUUCCCAUCUACCUGCUUUAUAUAUAUAUAUAUUAAGCAAAAGUCUGGGAUGUAAGGAUUAUGUCCUUAAUUAUGUCACCAGCCUGCGACGGCAUCCCAGCCUAAAAAGCAGGUGUGCCCUCUGUGUGUUCUCUUUUCCACAGUCUCUCCUUCUGUACCCCCCACUCCGCGUGGUCCCCCUCUCUCUCCCUCUCUUUCUCUUUCUCUCUCCCAAUAAAGCACUAGAAAGGUAA
This is a long non-coding RNA of Peromyscus californicus insignis, 541 nucleotides long. RefSeq lists it as uncharacterized. NCBI's taxonomy places the organism in Eukaryota, Metazoa, Chordata, Mammalia, Rodentia, Cricetidae. The record is from RefSeq and is a predicted model, not a curated record. The transcript has 2 exons.